RNAcentral lists this ribosomal RNA (913 nucleotides) under uncultured bacterium. Its description in RNAcentral is "bacterial SSU rRNA". It matches the Rfam family "Bacterial small subunit ribosomal RNA", at positions 8 to 916 of the family's 1533-position model. The record is from RNAcentral.
AGAGUUUGAUCAUGCUCAGAUGAACGCUGGCGGAAUGCUUUACACAUGCAAGUCGAGCGGCAGCACGGGGGCAACCCUGGUGGCGAGCGGCGAACGGGUGAGUAAUAUAUCGGAACAUGCCCAGUCGUGGGGGAUAACACUUCGAAAGAAGUGCUAAUACCGCAUACGUCCUGAGGGAGAAAGCGGGGGAUCGCAAGACCUCGCGCGAUUGGAGUGGCCGAUGUCAGAUUAGCUAGUUGGUGGGGUAAAGGCCUACCAGGGCAACGAUCUGUAGCUGGUCUGAGAGGAUGAUCAGCCACACUGGGACUGAGACACGGCCCAGACUCCUACGGGAGGCAGCAGUGGGGAAUUUUGGACAAUGGGGGCAACCCUGAUCCAGCCAUUCCGCGUGAGUGAAGAAGGCCUUCGGGUUGUAAAGCUCUUUCGGCAGGAACGAAACGGUGAGCUCUAACAUAGCUUGCUAAUGACGGUACCUGAAGAAGAAGCACCGGCUAACUACGUGCCAGCAGCCGCGGUAAUACGUAGGGUGCGAGCGUUAAUCGGAAUUACUGGGCGUAAAGCGUGCGCAGGCGGUUGUGUAAGACAGGUGUGAAAUCCCCGGGCUUAACCUGGGAACUGCGCUUGUGACUGCACAGCUAGAGUAUGGCAGAGGGGGGUGGAAUUCCACGUGUAGCAGUGAAAUGCGUAGAGAUGUGGAGGAACACCGAUGGCGAAGGCAGCCCCCUGGGCCAAUACUGACGCUCAUGCACGAAAAGCGUGGGGAGCAAACAGGAUUAGAUACCCUGAUAGUCCACGCCCUAAACGAUGUCGACUAGGUGUUCGGUGAGGAGACUCGUUGAGUACCGCAGCUAACGCGUGAAGUCGACCGCCUGGGGAGUACGGUCGCAAGAUUAAAACUCAAAUGAAUUGACGG